This 918-nucleotide small RNA is filed under the name uncultured bacterium. RNAcentral's name for it is "bacterial SSU rRNA". The stretch from base 1 to 488 matches the Rfam family "Bacterial small subunit ribosomal RNA", at positions 1045 to 1533 of the family's 1533-position model. The record is from RNAcentral.
AUGCUGUCGUCAGCUCGUGUUGUGAGAUGUUGGGUUAAGUCCCGCAACGAGCGCAACCCCUAUCCUUAGUUGCUAGCAGGUAAUGCUGAGAACUCUAAGGAGACUGCCGGUGAUAAACCGGAGGAAGGUGGGGACGACGUCAAGUCAUCAUGGCCCUUACGUGUAGGGCUACACACGUGCUACAAUGGCGCAUACAGAGUGCUGCGAACUCGCGAGAGUAAGCGAAUCACUUAAAGUGCGUCGUAGUCCGGAUUGGGGUCUGCAACUCGACUCCAUGAAGUCGGAAUCGCUAGUAAUCGCGUAUCAGAAUGACGCGGUGAAUACGUUCCCGGGCCUUGUACACACCGCCCGUCACACCAUGGGAGUGGGUUGCUCCAGAAGUAGAUAGUCUAACCCUCGGGAGGACGUUUACCACGGAGUGAUUCAUGACUGGGGUGAAGUCGUAACAAGGUAGCCCUAGGGGAACCUGGGGCUGGAUCACCUCCUUAUACGAUUUAGAACUUAUUUGUUCGUAGUGUCCACACAGAUGAUUGUUAAUUAGUGCUUAUUCUUCGGAAUAACUAAUUAAUAUGCUCUUUAAAAAUUUGGAAAAGCUGAUAAUAAAAUUCUGAUAGAUACUUCGUAUUUAUCAAGAGUUUUCAAAAGUAAAAAAAGAAUGGUAGCAGUACCAUUCAGUGCCAUUUGAUUAACUCUUACGAGUUGAUUGAUUGGUAUCUACUUUAGUAUUCAAUAUUGACUUCUGGCGAAGUUAAACUGUCACAAAACAAAGACCCGUUUGGGUUGUAUGGUUAAGUGACUAAGCGUACACGGUGGAUGCCUUGGCAGUUGGAGGCGAUGAAGGACGUAUUAACUUGCGAUAAGCCUAGUCAAGCUAGUAAAAAGCGCUUGAGACUAGGAUUUCCGAAUGGGGAAACCCGG